GGAUUAGAUACCCUGGUAGUCCACACCGUAAACGAUGUCUACUAGCUGUGUGCGAAUGUAUAUUUGUGCGUAGCGCAGCCAACGCGAUAAGUAGACCGCCUGGGGAGUACGGCCGCAAGGUUAAAACUCAAAUGAAUUGACGGGGGCCCGCACAAGCGGUGGAGCAUGUGGUUUAAUUCGAUGCAACGCGAAGAACCUUACCUACACUUGACAUACCAAGAAUUUAUCAGAGAUGAUUUAGUGCCUUCGGGAGCUUGGAUACAGGUGCUGCAUGGCUGUCGUCAGCUCGUGCCG
RNAcentral lists this ribosomal RNA (294 nucleotides) under uncultured bacterium. Its description in RNAcentral is "partial 16S ribosomal RNA". It matches the Rfam family "Bacterial small subunit ribosomal RNA", at positions 775 to 1067 of the family's 1533-position model. The record is from RNAcentral.